RNAcentral lists this ribosomal RNA (520 nucleotides) under uncultured bacterium. RNAcentral describes it as "bacterial SSU rRNA". It matches the Rfam family "Bacterial small subunit ribosomal RNA", at positions 355 to 873 of the family's 1533-position model. The record is from RNAcentral.
UAGGGAAUAUUGGGCAAUGGAGGCAACUCUGACCCAGCCAUGCCGCGUGCAGGAAGACGGUCCUAUGGAUUGUAAACUGCUUUUAUUGUAGAGUAAAUAUGGGGACGAGUUCCCUGUUUGAGAGUAUAUGAUGAAUAAGCAUCGGCUAACUCCGUGCCAGCAGCCGCGGUAAUACGGAGGAUGCAAGCGUUAUCCGGAUUUAUUGGGUUUAAAGGGUGCUCAGGCGGAACGGUAAGUCAAGGGUGAAAAUCUACUGCUUAACAGUAGCAGUGCCAAUGAUACUGCCGUACUAGAGUGUAAGAGGUGUAACUGGAAUGUGAUGUGUAGCGGUGAAAUGCAUAGAUAUGUCACAGAACGCCGAUCGUGAAGACAGGUUACAAACUUACAACUGACGCUCAAGCACGAAAGCGUGGGGAUCAAACAGGAUUAGAUACCCUGGUAGUCCACGCUGUAAACGAUGAUCACUCGUUGUUGGGCAGUAAUGUUCAGUGGCUAAGCGAAAGCGAUAAGUGAUCCUACC